RNAcentral lists this long non-coding RNA (747 nucleotides) under Anser brachyrhynchus (Pink-footed goose). RNAcentral describes it as "lncRNA (ENSABRG00000009921.1)". Lineage: Eukaryota; Metazoa; Chordata; Aves; Anseriformes; Anatidae. The record is from RNAcentral.
GAGCCGGUCGCCUCGGCAAGGUCUCCAGGAAAUGGGGUGGUGCAAAAGACCCUCCAUGUUGUGCUUUUGUUUCUAAGGCUAUGGUGCCUCUGCUAUCCUUUUGUCUACAGAGACAGAUGAGCUGUUCCAGAUCUACAUAAAAUGGGAGGUGACGUUAUGGGACACGUAUGUCAUUGUCUCAAUUGUUCUUUCUGUUCACUUAUGUUAGCUAUUUUUGUUGGAUCUGUGUGUGGAUGUUGUGGAACAAAGGCCUUUCUCUCCUGCCUCUAAAUGCAUAAAUAUGCAAACCCUUGUUAUUGAUCUGAAAGGAUGUGGUGAAAUUUGCACACUAGAUCUUACAUCCAACUUGAGUAAUAUCCAAAGCUUCCAUUUGUCCUUCAUAACAUUGUUUAUACAGAUGCACAAUACCUGCCUUCGCUGUGCAAAGGAGAAAGAGGUCUGCUGAGAGCUCCAGUUCAACAGACAACCUCAACAGUCACCUCUCUAUUUAGAAGUCCUGAAGUUGAACUGGCUUAAGUGCAACUACGUAUGGGCUAUACAGAUUUAAAAAAUAAUAAUAAAAAAAGGUUGAGAUGUCUGAAUCAGAUGUCUGAAUCUAGGCAGAUGAGAGGACAAGAAAAUAAUGCCAAAACGGAACUCUUUCAGAAGACAAGAGCCAAAAUGUACCUGGAAGAAAAACAAACAAACAAACAAACAAAAAAACAGAUUAAGAGACAGGUUCUGUAUAACUUAAGUGGUGAAAUUUGA